Molecule: ribosomal RNA, 252 nt
Filed under: uncultured bacterium
Lineage: Bacteria
Description: partial 16S ribosomal RNA
Rfam family: Bacterial small subunit ribosomal RNA
Source: RNAcentral
UACGUAGGUCCCGAGCGUUGUCCGGAUUUAUUGGGCGUAAAGCGUGCGCAGGUGGUUUAUUAAGUCUAGUGUAAAAGGCAGUGGCUCAACCAUUGUAUGCAUUGGAAACUGGUAGACUUGAGUGCAGGAGAGGAGAGUGGAAUCCCAUGUGUAGCGGUGAAAUGCGUAGAUAUAUGGAGGAACACCGGUGGCGAAAGCGGCUCUCUGGCCUGUAACUGACACUGAGGCUCGAAAGCGUGGGGAGCAAACAGG